This 70-nucleotide transfer RNA is filed under the name bovine gut metagenome. It matches the Rfam family "tRNA". Rfam says of the family: Transfer RNA (tRNA) molecules are approximately 80 nucleotides in length. Their secondary structure includes four short double-helical elements and three loops (D, anti-codon, and T loops). Further hydrogen bonds mediate the characteristic L-shaped molecular structure. tRNAs have two regions of fundamental functional importance: the anti-codon, which is responsible for specific mRNA codon recognition, and the 3' end, to which the tRNAs corresponding amino acid is attached (by aminoacyl-tRNA synthetases). tRNAs cope with the degeneracy of the genetic code in two manners: having more than one tRNA (with a specific anti-codon) for a particular amino acid; and 'wobble' base-pairing, i.e. permitting non-standard base-pairing at the 3rd anti-codon position. The record is from RNAcentral.
ACUGGUAGCUCAGUAGGUAGAGCAACUGACUUUUAAUCAGUGGGUCGGGGGUUCGAUUCCCCCCUAGUCC